CCUACGGGAGGCAGCAGUAGGGAAUUUUCGUCAAUGGGCGCAAGCCUGAACGAGCGAUGCCGCGUGAGUGAAGAAGGCCUUCGGGUCGUAAAGCUCUGUUGCGGGGGAAAAAAGGCAGCAUCAGGAAAUGGGUGCUGACUGAUGGUGCCCCGCCAGAAGGCCACGGCUAACUACGUGCCAGCAGCCGCGGUAAUACGUAGGUGGCGAGCGUUAUCCGGAAGGAUUGGGCGUAACGGUUGCGCAGGCGGUACUGCAAGUCUGGAGUGAAACGCAUGAGCUCAACACAUGCAGGGCUUUGGAAACUGGAGGACUGGAGAGCAGGAGAGGGCGGUGGAACUCCAUGUGUAGCGGUAAAAUGCGUAGAUAUAUGGAAGAACACCAGUGGCGAAGGCGGCCGCCGGGCCUGUUGCUGACGCUGAGGCACGAAAGCGUGGGGAGCAAAUAGGAUUAGAUACCCUAGUAGUC
RNAcentral lists this ribosomal RNA (465 nucleotides) under uncultured bacterium. RNAcentral describes it as "partial 16S ribosomal RNA". It matches the Rfam family "Bacterial small subunit ribosomal RNA", at positions 338 to 795 of the family's 1533-position model. The record is from RNAcentral.